Molecule: long non-coding RNA, 642 nt
Organism: Bombus pascuorum
Lineage: Eukaryota; Metazoa; Arthropoda; Insecta; Hymenoptera; Apidae
Exons: 2
Source: RefSeq, a predicted model, not a curated record
UUUUAGUAGUUAAUGGUAGCUUUCGGUUAAGUACUGCCAGUGACCAAUGGAUCUACCUAUGCAUCGAUUAAAUAUUGCUUCUGGAGUCCCCACCUUUUUACCAACUAUGCUACAUAACUGGCAAUAACAAAAAGAGGAUGGUUGCUCGCUGAUCUACUUUUGAGAAACAAUGUCAUGAUACGCAUGAUUUGGUCCGGUCCAGCGAUGGGAAACCAAGUCAACGAAAACCGCCUGGAAAGAAUGGGGCCAACCUGCCACAUCAUCACCCAAUACUCAGCUACGCAAGAAUGUAGAAAUUCUUGACUACCUGAUACAUCGUUUUACCUUUCCCUAACUUUGCUGUGCACGAGAAUCUCUGCUCUUCAGGGCCGUGUUCGAAGAAAAUGUAUACAUUAAAGCUCAGGCUGAAUUUCAGAAUUUCGAAACUGAACGAAAUGAGUUUCAAUCUCUCGAACGUAUCGUACCGAUUACAUGGAGAAUUUUAUUUCUUAGCACGUAUGUUGUACGAUGAUGAAAUUGUACAUGACAAUAUGGAAUUAGAUGUUUUAUAGAUGCGCAUUGGAUAGAAGCAAUUUGAUUGUGUGAAUAUCGAAAAGAGAUUAGAUGAUAAACGUGAUAAAGGAAGGAAGACAAGGAGGAUAA